Long non-coding RNA from Passer domesticus (house sparrow), 797 nucleotides. RefSeq lists it as uncharacterized. Lineage: Eukaryota; Metazoa; Chordata; Aves; Passeriformes; Passeridae. The record is from RefSeq and is a predicted model, not a curated record. The transcript has 2 exons.
CCUCUCCCUUGCAAGUCCUCUCAUUUUGCUUCAAACACACCUAACACUACCCCUAUUUCUUUCUUUCUCAUACCUCCUCUUUUCCAUGAUACAUCAGAUGUUUAGAGCCCAACAUGCAAGGGAAGAUUUGAGCUGAAGAUUUAAACUAAAGGUUUAGUAAAAACACAAAUGAGCACAACAAACCACGGAGCUACAUUAUCACAGCUGAACAUCCUUUCAGACAAGCAAAGGAGCUCUGUUAAGCUGGAUCACGAGCCUGUCAGUCACAGGAACACAAGCACAAGAGAGCUGAUAUACACAAGCACAUCUGAGUUUCAGCCUUACCAAUAUCUUCAUGUGGGGACAGAGGGUUCAGGUUUCCCAUGGAAUAAUUUUCCUCCAUCUGAAAUGUAAACAGAUUUUUUAUUUAACAAAUUAAAAAGGCAAAAGUAAACAUUAAUGCUGAUACGUAUUUUCUUUUAGUGAGAAAAACACUGACACAGUGAAUGUUAGCUUCCUUUACAAAAUCUGGAUUUAAAGGUAUUUAGCAGUCUCUAAAGUUGCAAGACAAAACCACACAGGAGAAGCGUGUGAGUUGUGGAGUCUGCUAGAGGACUUGGAUUUUGCACUGUACCACUGAAGCAGAAGCCUUUUGGAGAAUUGAGUCACUGUAUUUUUGUACAUGAUCCACAUGAGAGAGAUUCAUACUUGGUUAAAAGUCAUCAUGGGGGGAUUGCUGGGAAAGGGAUUAAACAUGUUCAAAGAACAUCAAGCUUAAAAGCAACCAAGACAUUAAAAAACGUUUGCGGCAAAGAUAA